AUACUGCUGAAGAGUCCCAAACUAGGACGAAACAGCCGUCCAGUAC
Non-coding RNA from Trichobilharzia regenti, 46 nucleotides. The record is from Rfam. NCBI's taxonomy places the organism in Eukaryota, Metazoa, Platyhelminthes, Trematoda, Strigeidida, Schistosomatidae.